GACGAACGCUGGCGGCGUGCUUAACACAUGCAAGUCGAACGGAAAGGCCCCUUUUUGGGUGCGCGAGUGGCUAACGGAUGAGUAACACGUGCGUAACCUGCCCUUCAUUUACUGAUAACUUCAGCAAACUAGGUCUAAUACCUACUAGGAAUCCUUGCUGCAUGGUUGGGGUUGUAAAACUUCGUCGGUUUUGGAUGGACUCGCGGCCCAUCAACUUUUUGGUGGGGUAGUUGCUUAACAAAGCCGUGACGGGUAGCCGGGCCGAGAGGGGGACACGGCCAAAUUGGGAUGGGGUAAGGGCCAGACCCCUACGGGAAGGAGGCGGGGGGGAUAUUGGCAAAAGGGGGGAAGCCUGAAGCAGCAGAGCCGGGUGCGGGAAGGAGGCCUUCGGGUUGUUAAACGCUUUCAGCUAGGGACGAGGUUGUAGUGACGGUACCUGCAGAAGAAGCACCGGCUAACUACGUG
RNAcentral lists this ribosomal RNA (465 nucleotides) under uncultured bacterium. RNAcentral's name for it is "partial 16S ribosomal RNA". It matches the Rfam family "Bacterial small subunit ribosomal RNA", at positions 28 to 507 of the family's 1533-position model. The record is from RNAcentral.